UACGGAGGAUGCAAGCGUUAUCCGGAAUGAUUGGGCGUAAAGCGUCCGCAGGUGGCUGUGUAAGUCUGCUGUCAAAGAGCGAAGCUCAACUUCGUAAAGGCAGUGGAAACUACACGGCUAGAGUGCGUUCGGGGCAGAGGGAAUUCCUGGUGUAGCGGUGAAAUGCGUAGAUAUCUGGAGGAACACCGGUGGCGAAGGCGGCAUCCUGGACCGGUAUUGACGCUGAGGCGCGAAAGCCAGGGGAGCAAACGGG
RNAcentral lists this ribosomal RNA (253 nucleotides) under uncultured bacterium. RNAcentral's name for it is "partial 16S ribosomal RNA". It matches the Rfam family "Bacterial small subunit ribosomal RNA", at positions 524 to 776 of the family's 1533-position model. The record is from RNAcentral.